Molecule: ribosomal RNA, 446 nt
Filed under: uncultured bacterium
Lineage: Bacteria
Description: SSU rRNA
Rfam family: Bacterial small subunit ribosomal RNA
Source: RNAcentral
AGAACGAACGCUGGCGGCAUGCCUAACACAUGCAAGUCGAACGAGACCUUCGGGUCUAGUGGCGCACGGGUGCGUAACGCGUGGGAAUCUGCCCUUGGGUCCGGAAUAACAGUUAGAAAUGACUGCUAAUACCGGAUGAUGACGUAAGUCCAAAGAUUUAUCGCCCAGGGAUGAGCCCGCGUAAGAUUAGGUAGUUGGCGGGGUAAAGGCCUACCAAGCCGACGAUCUUUAGCUGGUCUGAGAGGAUGAUCAGCCACACUGGGACUGAGACACGGCCCAGACUCCUACGGGAGGCAGCAGUGGGGAAUAUUGGACAAUGGGCGAAAGCCUGAUCCAGCAAUGCCGCGUGAGUGAUGAAGGCCCUAGGGUUGUAAAGCUCUUUUACCCGGGAUGAUAAUGACAGUACCGGGAGAAUAAGCCCCGGCUAACUCCGUGCCAGCAGCCGC